AGACGCGUAGCUCAGUGGGAGAGCACUACACUGACACUGUAGGGGUCCGCGGUUCAAUCCCGCGCGCGUCUACCA
RNAcentral lists this transfer RNA (75 nucleotides) under Desulfuromonadales bacterium. RNAcentral describes it as "tRNA-Val". It matches the Rfam family "tRNA". Rfam says of the family: Transfer RNA (tRNA) molecules are approximately 80 nucleotides in length. Their secondary structure includes four short double-helical elements and three loops (D, anti-codon, and T loops). The record is from RNAcentral. Lineage: Bacteria; Pseudomonadati; Thermodesulfobacteriota; Desulfuromonadia; Desulfuromonadales. RNAcentral also lists the same sequence under 2 other names.